AGGGAAAUUGCUUGGAUGGUGGUGAUAGUGUAUGACAGAUAAUAAUCAAAUGAAAUUCAAAAGAAUUAAAAAGAAGAGAAUCUGAAAUAUCUCCUGGAAAACAUAAUUGACCUGGAAAGUAGAUCCAGAAGAGAUCAUUUAAGAAUCAGUGGAUUGCCAGAAAGCCAAGAUUUUUAAAAUGAGCCUGGACACCAUAUUGCAAGAAAUCGUUUGGGAUAAUUACCCUUGAUUAUGUCCUUGAACAAGAGGGGAAAAUAGAAACCGAAAAAAUUCACAGGUUACCUCCUGAAAGAGAUCCCAAAUUAAAAACUCACAGGAAUAGUAUAGCCAAAUUCCAGGACUUCCAGACCAAGGUAGUGACAGUAUAGGUUUUUGUUAACUGAGGUCCUACAGGAGGUUUAGUGAUGUUUGAAACCCUGUAGUAAAAUGGGGCUUUUGUCAUACCCCUCCAAACUGUACAGUCUUUUCAGACCCAUCAUUUCUUGGUUAUACUCUUUCUCAGAAUUCCAGUCACUGCAUCUAUAGCAUAAAUCAAAAAACUUACACCUAUAAUAUUUUGCUAAGAAUGCACAAGAGGAAUAAAAAAAAUAAAUAAUACUAGGUGUACUUUUUUUUCCCAUCAGGUUAAAAAGUGGGGAGAGGAGAGUGACCUCAAGAUAAGUGAUAAUGAAGUGUGGAUCUCACUUAUUGGAAGACCAGUGGUAGACUAGAGGGAGAGAAUAUGGCAUCCAUUUUCAGAAUCCCCCAGAGUGUGGAUUUAUUUUGCUUGGUUAUACUUAUUUGCUACAAGAAGGUGCAAUAUAUGACCAGAAGGAGGUCACACACUCACACAUUGGGGAACUUGAGAGAGAGGAUGAGAGAACUGAAGAAAUGGAGAGAGGAAAGAGAUUGAUCCUCCCCUCUCUUCCCCUUGGAUCCUUUCCCCUGUUUUCCCAUGAGUCCUGAUGAAAGGAACCUGGAUUUACAGUCAGAGGAACAAGCAAAUGAAAAGGUCAUUGCCAACUCAAAGUCUUCAAAGAGUGCAGUAUCGAAUGAUUCACAAUCACACAUCAGAAAAAAAAAAUUGUACUGCUCUGGCAAGUUCUACCAUGAUGAGAAGGUUUAAAAUUCAGUUCCAGCAAUAAACAAUAUCUGCUUUCCAGGGAUUACUCUUGCUAAGUACCCAGAAGCUCAACAAAUUGGUGAUUCAUUCUUUGGCCAUGGCAGCCCAUGAAACUUUCCUUAUUCAGGAAAGUAUAAAUAUAUUUAUUCAAAGCAAUAUUUCAUUUAAUCUUUCAAUAUACUGAAUACACAGAAGUUCUAAUUUAUUAUUAUUUUUUAAUUACGAAGCAUAACUUACUUUUAAACGCCCAAUGCUAAUCAUUCUUCUCAAUGUUCGUUUGUAUAAGUCCUUUUUCAUGCUUUGAUCACAGGUACUUUCACAUGAAAGUAUUGACUGAGCUUAACUCCCUGGUUUAAUAUUCAAACAUGGGUAUGAAAUGCAAGUAAAGUUAUUUUUUAAUUAAUUGUUACUAUUAGCUUCUAUUAAAGGAACAGCCGGUUAAAUAAACUAAUAAAUUAUAGCA
Monodelphis domestica (gray short-tailed opossum) is the source of this 1565-nucleotide long non-coding RNA. The record is from Ensembl. Lineage: Eukaryota; Metazoa; Chordata; Mammalia; Didelphimorphia; Didelphidae.